GGAUUCCCCUAGUAACGGCGAGUGAAGCGGGAUGAGCUCAAAUUUGAAAUCUGGCGGUCUACGGCCGUCCGAGUUGUAAUCUAUAGAGGUGUUUUCCGUGCCGGACCGUGUACAAGUCCCUUGGAACAGGGCGUCAUAGAGGGUGAGAAUCCCGUCCAUGACACGGACUACCGGUGCUCUGUGAUACACCUUCAAAGAGUCGAGUUGUUUGGGAAUGCAGCUCAAAAUGGGUGGUAAAUUCCAUCUAAAGCUAAAUACAGGCGAGAGACCGAUAGCGAACAAGUACCGUGAGGGAAAGAUGAAAAGAACUUUGGAAAGAGAGUUAAACAGUACGUGAAAUUGUUGAAAGGGAAACGCUUGGAGUCAGUCGCGUUUGCCAGGACUCAGCCUUGCUUCUGCUUGGUGCACUUCCUGGUGAAUGGGCCAGCAUCGAUUUUGGUCGCCGGAAAAGGGCGGGAGGAAUGUGGCAGCUUGCUGUGUUAUAGCCUUCCGUCGUACACGGUGUCUGGGAUCGAGGACUGCAGCACGCCUUUGGUCGGGGUUCGCCCACGCCACGUGCUUAGGAUGCUGGCGUAAUGGCUUUAAACGACCCGUCUUGAAACACGGACCAAGGAGUCUAACAUGCCUGCGAGUGUUUGGGUGUUAAACCCAGGCGCGUAAUGAAAGUGAAAAGUUGGGACUCUUUAGUGAGGCACCGACGCCCGAUCCUGACGUUCUCUGACGGAUUUGAGGCAGAGCAUGUAUGUUGGGACCCGAAAGAUGGUGAACUAUGCCUGAAUAGGGUGAAGCCAGAGGAAACUCUGGUGGAGGCUCGUAGCGAUUCUGACGUGCAAAUCGAUCGUCAAAUUUGGGUAUAGGGGCG
RNAcentral lists this ribosomal RNA (862 nucleotides) under Exidia crenata. RNAcentral's name for it is "LSU rRNA". It matches the Rfam family "Eukaryotic large subunit ribosomal RNA", at positions 72 to 925 of the family's 3401-position model. Lineage: Eukaryota; Fungi; Basidiomycota; Agaricomycetes; Auriculariales; Exidiaceae. The record is from RNAcentral.